This 527-nucleotide long non-coding RNA is filed under the name Phoenix dactylifera (date palm). RNAcentral describes it as "long non-coding RNA (PDAC_LNC022392)". The record is from RNAcentral. Lineage: Eukaryota; Viridiplantae; Streptophyta; Magnoliopsida; Arecales; Arecaceae.
AAGGUUGAGUCGACCCAAGGCAAAGUUGGGUCGACCCAAGGACAGGUUGAGCCGACCCAAACACGGGCUGAACAUAACAGCUAGUUGUGCAGAAAUGCUUUUUGGACUCCCAACGGCUAUAAACGGCUAGUUUCUUUAAUCCAAUGGUCAGAAAGGACUAUUUGGAGGUUGGAGAAGUAUUUAAGAGGGAGUAUUCAUCAGAAGAAGUAAGCCUUGGGGGAAAAUACAUCAAGUGCAUUCAAGAGAGAACCCUAGCAAGGCAAGCCUCAUCCAAGUGCUUCAUUCAAGAAUCAAAAGAAAGGGGUUGAGCAGUUUCAAAGAGGCAUCAAGAGCUCCAUCCUCCCUUGAAGAAGUGAAGCAUCCUUGACAAAGAAGAGAGAAGCCACUUCAAAGCGAUAAAUAUUUUCUAACUCUUCUUUGUAGUUUAUAUUGUUUUAUAUGCUCAUUUAGGAGUUUGAAUCUUUCUUUUUGUUUGUCAAAACUACUUGUUGUAAGGUUUGUUGGCAAGCCCGUAAAACCAACAUUGG